GACGAACGCUGGCGGCGUGCCUAAUACAUGCAAGUAGAACGCUGAAGGAGGAGCUUGCUCUUCUGGAUGAGUUGCGAACGGGUGAGUAACGCGUAGGUAACCUGCCUGGUAGCUGGGGAUAACUAUUGGAAACGAUAGCUAAUACCGCAUAACAGUAGAUGUUGCAUGACAUUUGCUUAAAAUGUGCAAUUGCACCACUACCAGAUGGACCUGCGUUUUAUUAGCUAGUUGGUGGGGUAACGGCUCACCAAGGCGACGAUACAUAGCCGACCUGAGAGGGUGGUCGGCCAAACUGGGACCGAGAAAACGCCCAGACUUCUACGGGGGGCAGCAGUAGGGAAUCAUCGGAAAUGGACGGAAGUCUGACCGAGCAAAGACGCGUGAGUGGAGAAGGUUUUCGGAUCGGAAAGGUCUGUUGUAAGAGAAGAAAGAGUGUGAGAGUGGAAAGUUGACACUGUGACGGUAUCUUAACAGAAAGGGACGGCUAACUACGUG
This 495-nucleotide ribosomal RNA is filed under the name uncultured bacterium. RNAcentral describes it as "partial 16S ribosomal RNA". It matches the Rfam family "Bacterial small subunit ribosomal RNA", at positions 28 to 507 of the family's 1533-position model. The record is from RNAcentral.